Mobula hypostoma (lesser devil ray) is the source of this 1199-nucleotide long non-coding RNA. RefSeq lists it as uncharacterized. The record is from RefSeq and is a predicted model, not a curated record. The transcript is spliced from 3 exons. Lineage: Eukaryota; Metazoa; Chordata; Chondrichthyes; Myliobatiformes; Myliobatidae.
UCAGUCACAUGAUUAGAUUGAUUACUGUGGUUGGAACGGAUUUGUAAUCGCUAAGGCCCACAGUGCCAGCCAGUGGGCAUCAAACAGCAAGUAGAACCAGAAUCCAGUGCCAGCCAGUGGGCAUCAAACAGCAAGUAGAACCAGAAUCCAGUGCCAGCCAGUGGGCAUCAAACAGCAAGUAGAACCAGAAUCCAGUGCCAGCUAGUGGACAAUAAACAGCAAGUAGAAUCAGACAUCCAGUGCCAGCUAGUGGACAAUAAACAGCAAGUAGAAUCAGACAUCCAAUGCCAGCCAGUGGGCAUCAAACAGCAAGUGGAAUCAGACAUCCAGUGGACAACGCACCUCUUGUGGGAAGAGAGAAUUAACAUUUCAGAUCAGAUUCCCUGCGUCAGAACUGGAAAGAGAGAAAAUAAGUUAGCUUUCAGUUGCAGAGAAGGAGUGGGGAGGAAUGGGAAUAUCUUUGUUAGGGUGACACUUUGUCUAUGUCAAACCUCCUCUACAUUUCCUGACAGGAUGAGUGAACCAGCAAUUGACCCAGCAGAGUAUGUUCACCGAAAGGAAGUUGUCCACCGGCGUGAGUACAUUAUCCAGAAGCAGCAAGAAACCAUUGGCCAUCUGUCAACCACUCUCAUCCAACUCUCCGCCUUGGUGCAGCAACUCCAUGCGGGUCAACCUCCUCCCUCUGAGGCCAGGAUUCCUGUGCCAAAUGCUUUGAUGGAUCUCCAACUCGAUGUCAUUAUUUCCUGUCCCAGUGCAUCUUAUACCUUGAGCUCCAGUCAUUUUCCAAGCCUUCAUUAAUUAGAUCCUCUGAGACAUGUUACACAGGGGCCAUGCACAAUCCUGAUUUGAUGGAGACAGCCGUGAGAAGCACAGAGAAACUUCUGAAAUGCCCGCUUUGCUGCCACUGCUACUGUGCGAUCGAGAAUCUCUGGAAGGGAAGGCCCCAAACCCUCGGCUUUGCCAAUUGCCUGUUGCCGGGGCCGGGGUUGAAGCGCUCGGCAGAGAUGGUGCUCGGUGCUCGGUGUCGGAGAGCUGGUCGGAGGCUCGUAGUUUUCGGACGGACUCGGAGUUGGACUGUGGUCGGAUGCUUCCAGGAUGCUGCAUCAGCAAGUUUGCAGCGCUGGAGGUUCACCAUCUGCAUGAGAUGAUGGGACUUUCGAGAGACCUUGAUAUUUUUUACCGUGCCCAUGGUCUGUUCU